Molecule: ribosomal RNA, 429 nt
Filed under: Bacteroidota bacterium
Lineage: Bacteria; Pseudomonadati; Bacteroidota
Description: Bacteroidetes bacterium partial 16S ribosomal RNA
Rfam family: Bacterial small subunit ribosomal RNA
Source: RNAcentral
UAGGGAAUCUUCCGCAAUGGACGCAAGUCUGACGGAGCAACGCCGCGUGAGUGAAGAAGGAUUUCGGUUCGUAAAACUCUGUUGUUAGAGAAGAACAGCGCAUAGAGUAACUGUUAUGCGUGUGACGGUAUCUAACCAGAAAGCCACGGCUAACUACGUGCCAGCAGCCGCGGUAAUACGUAGGUGGCAAGCGUUGUCCGGAUUUAUUGGGCGUAAAGCGAGCGCAGGCGGUCAAUUAAGUCUGAUGUGAAAGCCCCCGGCUCAACCGGGGAGGGUCAUUGGAAACUGGUUGACUUGAGUGCAGAAGAGGGAAGGAGAAUUCCAUGUGUAGCGGUGAAAUGCGUAGAUAUAUGGAGGAACACCAGUGGCGAAGGCGACUCUCUGGUCUGUAACUGACGCUGAGGCACGAAAGCGUGGGUAGCAAACAGG